This 480-nucleotide long non-coding RNA is filed under the name Homo sapiens (human). Its description in RNAcentral is "non-protein coding LINC00115:15". The record is from RNAcentral. Lineage: Eukaryota; Metazoa; Chordata; Mammalia; Primates; Hominidae.
GACAAGUUCGAGCAUCUUAAAAUGAUUCAACAGGAGGAGAUAAGGAAGCUCGAGGAAGAGAAAAAACAACUGGAAGGAGAAAUCAUAGAUUUUUAUAAAAUGAAAGCUGCCUCUGAAGCACUGCAGACUCAGCUGAGCACCGAUACAAAGAAAGACAAACAUCCUGAUCCAUAUGAAUUCCUCUUAUUAAGAAAAAUAAAGCAUCCAGGAUUCAAUGAAGAACUGACUAUCACCUUGUUAAUCAUUCAGAAACAUGUUGCAGGCUUAAGCCAUUUUUGAUAUAGAUACUGAAACAAUUACUUGCUAAGAGCAAACUUGAAGGUAUGGAUAAGGCCCUGAGUCAUCUUCCUGAGCUGAAUGAUAGUUAAGCUGAAUUAACAAUUUGGACAAGACAGCAAAUGCUAUUGUCCAAGUUUUCUAAAGAAGAAUCUGAAGUGAAAUGACAUCAAGAGACCUAUCAAGACCUGUAUCCAGGAAAAG